Molecule: transfer RNA, 76 nt
Filed under: Parcubacteria group bacterium SW_4_49_11
Lineage: Bacteria
Description: tRNA-Trp
Rfam family: tRNA
About the family: Transfer RNA (tRNA) molecules are approximately 80 nucleotides in length. Their secondary structure includes four short double-helical elements and three loops (D, anti-codon, and T loops).
Source: RNAcentral
AGGCCCAUAGUUAAAUUGGCUAUAACGGCGGUCUCCAAAACCGCUAUUGGGGGUUCGAGUCCCUCUGGGCCUGCCU